GGGCCUGUGGCGCAGUGGUAGCGCACCGGUAUGGCAUUCCGGAGGUCGGCGGUUCAAGUCCGCCCUGGUCCA
RNAcentral lists this transfer RNA (72 nucleotides) under Catenuloplanes nepalensis. RNAcentral's name for it is "tRNA-Ala". It matches the Rfam family "tRNA". From Rfam's summary of the family: Transfer RNA (tRNA) molecules are approximately 80 nucleotides in length. The record is from RNAcentral. Lineage: Bacteria; Bacillati; Actinomycetota; Actinomycetes; Micromonosporales; Micromonosporaceae.